GGACUACCAGGGUAUCUAAUCCUGUUUGCUCCCCACGCUUUCGCGCCUCAGCGUCAGUUGUGAGCCAGAAAGCCGCCUUCGCCACUGGUGUUCUUGCGAAUAUCUACGAAUUUCACCUCUACACUCGCAAUUCCACUUUCCUCUCUCACUCUCUAGCCCAACAGUAUCAAAUGCAGUUCCCAAGUUAAGCUCGGGGCUUUCACAUCUGACUUAUUGGGCCGCCUACGCGCCCUUUACGCCCAGUAAUUCCGAACAACGCUAGCACCCUUCGUAUUACCGCGGCGGCUGGCAC
Molecule: ribosomal RNA, 292 nt
Filed under: uncultured Alphaproteobacteria bacterium
Lineage: Bacteria; Pseudomonadati; Pseudomonadota; Alphaproteobacteria
Description: partial 16S ribosomal RNA
Source: RNAcentral